This 301-nucleotide ribosomal RNA is filed under the name uncultured bacterium. RNAcentral describes it as "partial 16S ribosomal RNA". It matches the Rfam family "Bacterial small subunit ribosomal RNA", at positions 509 to 807 of the family's 1533-position model. The record is from RNAcentral.
CAGUAGCCACGGGAAUACGAAGGGGGCUAGCGUUGCUCGGAAUGGCUGGGCGUAAAGGGCGCGUAGGCGGAUGGUACAGUCAGAUGUGAAAUUCCUGGGCUUAACCUGGGGGCUGCAUUUGAUACGUAUUGUCUAGAGUGAGGAAGAGGGUCGUGAAAUUCCCAGUGUAGAGGUGAAAUUCGUAGAUAUUGGGAAGAACACCGGUGGCGAAGGCGGCGACCUGGUCCUUGACUGACGCUGAGGCGCGAAAGCGUGGGGAGCAAACAGGAUUAGAUACCCGGGUAGUCCCUGUCUCUUAUAC